CCUACGGGAGGCAGCAGUGAGGAAUAUUGGUCAAUGGGCGGGAGCCUGAACCAGCCAAGUCGCGUGAGGGAAGACGGUCCUAUGGAUUGUAAACCUCUUUAGGCGGGGAGCAAUGCCGGGCACGCGUGCCCGGAGGGAGAGUACCCGCAGAAUAAGCAUCGGCUAACUCCGUGCCAGCAGCCGCGGUAAUACGGAGGAUGCGAGCGUUAUCCGGAUUUAGUGGGUUUAAAGGGUGCGUAGGCGGAUUUUUAAGUCAGCGGUAAAAUGUCGGGGCUCAACCCGGGCCGGCCGUUGAAACUGGGGAUCUUGAGUGGGCGAGAAGUAUGCGGAAUGCGUGGUGUAGCGGUGAAAUGCAUAGAUAUCACGCAGAACUCCGAUUGCGAAGGCAGCAUACCGGCGCCCGACUGACGCUGAGGCACGAAAGCGUGGGGAUCGAACAGGAUUAGAUACCCUUGUAGUC
RNAcentral lists this ribosomal RNA (460 nucleotides) under uncultured bacterium. RNAcentral describes it as "partial 16S ribosomal RNA". It matches the Rfam family "Bacterial small subunit ribosomal RNA", at positions 338 to 795 of the family's 1533-position model. The record is from RNAcentral.